GCUAAGGGGCUCGCGAACACCCCGUGAGGCUUCGGCCAAAGUUUCGCGUCCUGAAUUAACACCCAAACCAUGGGAGGACGCGACAUG
Molecule: regulatory RNA element, 87 nt
Organism: Rhodobacteraceae bacterium HTCC2083
Lineage: Bacteria; Pseudomonadati; Pseudomonadota; Alphaproteobacteria; Rhodobacterales; Paracoccaceae
Rfam family: chrB-a RNA
Source: Rfam